UAAUAAGUGUUUUAUGGCACUUUUUAAAUCCAUAUCCACCUUGUGUGCAAUGUCAGUCGAUCCUCUUCAUGGAGAUCGACCAAACAUCAACCUUUAUUUUUUAACUCUUUGUCUGAAAAAUAUUAUGAAUAAACAAUUCAAAAUA
RNAcentral lists this unclassified non-coding RNA (145 nucleotides) under soil metagenome. Its description in RNAcentral is "partial internal transcribed spacer 1". The record is from RNAcentral.